Molecule: ribosomal RNA, 386 nt
Filed under: Blarina brevicauda (short-tailed shrew)
Lineage: Eukaryota; Metazoa; Chordata; Mammalia; Eulipotyphla; Soricidae
Description: partial 16S ribosomal RNA
Rfam family: Bacterial large subunit ribosomal RNA
Source: RNAcentral
CGGCCGCGGUAUCCUGACCGUGCAAAGGUAGCAUAAUCAUUUGUUCCCUAAAUAGGGACUUGUAUGAAUGGCCACACGAGGGUUUAACUGUCUCUUACUUCCAAUCAGUGAAAUUGACCUUUCCGUGAAGAGGCGGAAAUACACCAAUUAGACGAGAAGACCCUAUGGAGCUUUAAUUUACCUACUCUGGAUAGAAAAUUUCGGUUGGGGUGACCUCGGAGUAUAAACUAACCUCCGAACCGAGACUGACAAGUCAAAGUCAGUCUAACUGAUCAACGGAACAAGUUACCCUAGGGAUAACAGCGCAAUCCUAUUCUAGAGUCCUUAUCGACAAUAGGGUUUACGACCUCGAUGUUGGAUCAGGACAUCCCAAUGGUGUAGCAGCU